GUGAAUCAUCGAAUCUUUGAACGCACCUUGCGCUCCUUGGUAUUCCGAGGAGCAUGCCUGUUUGAGUGUCAUUAAAUUCUCAACCAUGACUUGUUGACAUGGCUUGGGAGUUUGGGGGGUUGUGCUGGGCUUUGUUUUGUCAGCUCUCCUGAAAUACAUUAGCGGUGGACAAGCAAGGCCUUCCGACGUGAUAAUGAUCGUCGUGGGGCGGAGCAUCAACGUCUGUCUGCUUCUAAAUCCCAGAUGCCUUAGCUAGACAUCAUUUCGAACGCUUGACCUCAAAUCAGGUAGGACUACCCGCUGAACUUAAGCAUAUCAAUAAGCGGAGG
RNAcentral lists this ribosomal RNA (329 nucleotides) under uncultured fungus. RNAcentral's name for it is "eukaryotic LSU rRNA". The stretch from base 1 to 71 matches the Rfam family "5.8S ribosomal RNA", at positions 84 to 154 of the family's 154-position model. Lineage: Eukaryota; Fungi. The record is from RNAcentral.